GGCCUCGUCGUCUAAUGGUUAGGACAUUGGCUCUUCAAGCCAGCAAUACGGGUUCGAUUCCCGUCGAGGCCACCA
This 75-nucleotide transfer RNA is filed under the name candidate division WWE3 bacterium RIFCSPHIGHO2_01_FULL_48_15. RNAcentral's name for it is "tRNA-Glu". It matches the Rfam family "tRNA". Rfam says of the family: Transfer RNA (tRNA) molecules are approximately 80 nucleotides in length. Lineage: Bacteria; candidate division WWE3. The record is from RNAcentral.